GACGGAAGGUGCAAGCGUUGCUCGGAAUCACUGGGCGUAAAGGGUGCGUAGGCGGCCGCGCAAGUCUGGCGUGAAAGCCCCGGGCUCAGCCCGGGAAGGGCGCUCGAAACGGCGAGACUAGAGUACUGGAGAGGGUGGUGGAAUUCCCGGUGUAGCGGUGAAAUGCGUAGAUAUCGGGAGGAACAUCAGUGGCGAAGGCGACCACCUGGCCCAACACUGACGCUGAGGUGCGAAAGCGUGGGUAGCAAACAGG
This 253-nucleotide ribosomal RNA is filed under the name uncultured bacterium. RNAcentral's name for it is "partial 16S ribosomal RNA". It matches the Rfam family "Bacterial small subunit ribosomal RNA", at positions 524 to 776 of the family's 1533-position model. The record is from RNAcentral.